CAGCAGCCGCGGGAAUACAGAGGGUGCGAGCGUUAAUCGGAUUUACUGGGCGUAAAGCGUGCGUAGGCGGCUUUUUAAGUCGGAUGUGAAAUCCCUGAGCUUAACUUAGGAAUUGCAUUCGAUACUGGGAAGCUAGAGUAUGGGAGAGGAUGGUAGAAUUCCAGGUGUAGCGGUGAAAUGCGUAGAGAUCUGGAGGAAUACCGAUGGCGAAGGCAGCCAUCUGGCCUAAUACUGACGCUGAGGUACGAAAGCAUGGGGAGCAAACAGGAUUAGAUACCCCGGUAGUCCCUGUAUCUUAUAA
Molecule: ribosomal RNA, 301 nt
Filed under: uncultured bacterium
Lineage: Bacteria
Description: partial 16S ribosomal RNA
Rfam family: Bacterial small subunit ribosomal RNA
Source: RNAcentral